RNAcentral lists this ribosomal RNA (458 nucleotides) under uncultured bacterium. RNAcentral's name for it is "bacterial SSU rRNA". It matches the Rfam family "Bacterial small subunit ribosomal RNA", at positions 339 to 794 of the family's 1533-position model. The record is from RNAcentral.
GUACGGGAGGCAGCAGUGAGGAAUAUUGGUCAAUGGGCGCAAGCCUGAGCCAGCCAUGCCGCGUGCAGGAUGAAGCAUCUAUGGUGUGUAAACUGCUUUUGUACGGGAAGAAACACUGCUUCGUGAAGCAGCUUGACGGUACCGUAAGAAUAAGGAUCGGCUAACUCCGUGCCAGCAGCCGCGGUAAUACGGAGGAUCCAAGCGUUAUCCGGAAUCAUUGGGUUUAAAGGGUCCGUAGGCGGUUUGGUAAGUCAGUGGUGAAAGCCCAUCGCUCAACGGUGGAACGGCCAUUGAUACUGCCAGACUUGAAUUAUUAGGAAGUAACUAGAAUAUGUAGUGUAGCGGUGAAAUGCUUAGAUAUUACAUGGAAUACCAAUUGCGAAGGCAGGUUACUACUAAUGGAUUGACGCUGAUGGACGAAAGCGUGGGUAGCGAACAGGAUUAGAUACCCUGGUAGU